This 1201-nucleotide ribosomal RNA is filed under the name metagenome. RNAcentral describes it as "bacterial LSU rRNA". It matches the Rfam family "Bacterial large subunit ribosomal RNA", at positions 1710 to 2925 of the family's 2925-position model. The record is from RNAcentral.
AAACUAGGCAAAUUAACCCCGUAACUUCGGGAGAAGGGGUGCCCAUGCAAAUGGGCCGCAGUGAAUAGCGUCGGGCGACUGUUUAACAAAAACACAGGUCUCUGCUAAGUCGAAAACGAUGUAUAGGGGCUGACGCCUGCCCGUUGCCGGAAGGUUAAAGGGAGUGGUUAGCGCAAGCGAAGCUACGAACUGAAGCCCCGGUGAACGGCGGCCGUAACAAUAACGGUCCUAAGGUAGCAAAAUUCCUUGUCGGGUAAGUUCCGACCUGCACGAAUGGCGUAACGAUCUGACGACUGUCUCAACAACUCGCCCGGCGAAUUUGUGGUUCCGGUGAAGACGCCGGAUGCCCGCCACAAGACGGAAAGACCCCGUGCACCUUUACUAUACCCUAUCAGUGAAUUAUGGGUUGGACUGCGCAGGAUAGGUGGGAGGCUUUGAGAUCGGGUUUUUGGACUCGAUGGAGCCAACGGUGAGAUACCACCCUGUGUAAUCUGUGAUUCUAACCUGCUUCCAUGAUCUGGAAGAGGGACACUGGUAGGCGGGUAGUUUGACUGGGGCGGUCGCCUCCUAAAUUGUAACGGAGGCGCUCGAAGCUGCGUUCAGGUGGUUUGGAAAUCCACCGACGAGUGCAAAGGCAUAAACGCGGUUAACUGCGAGACCUACAAGUCAAGCAGGUGGGAAACCAGGACUUAGUGAUCCGGUGGUUCUGUAUGGAAGGGCCAUCGCUCAACGGAUAAAAGGUACGCCGGGGAUAACAGGCUGAUCGGAGUCAAGAGUUCACAUCGACGCUUCGGUUUGGCACCUGAUGUCGGUUCAUCGCAUCCCGGGGGUGUAGAAGCUCCCAAGGGUUAGGCUGUUCGCCUAUUAAAGCGGUACGUGAACUGGGUUCAGAACGUCGCGAGACAGUUCGGUCCCUAUCUGUGGUGGGCGCAGGAAAUUUGAGGGGGCUUGGCCUUAGUACGAGAGGACCGGGCUGAACGAACCUCUUGUGAUACAGUUGUCACUCCAGUGGCACAGCUGUGUAGCGAAGUUCGGUUAGGAUAAGCGCUGAAUGCAUAUAAGUGCGAAACCUUCCCCAAGAUGAGAUUUCCCAACCGUAAGGUAAUAAGGGCCGUGGAAGACUACCACGUUGAUAGGACGGGUGUGUAAGAGUAGUAGUACUUUGAGCUAACCGUUACUAAUAGCCCGUUCGGCUUGACCU